Molecule: RNA transcript, 2118 nt
Organism: Salvia miltiorrhiza (redroot sage)
Lineage: Eukaryota; Viridiplantae; Streptophyta; Magnoliopsida; Lamiales; Lamiaceae
Gene name: protein DETOXIFICATION 16-like
Exons: 8
Source: RefSeq, a predicted model, not a curated record
UUUACAAACUACACCUAACCACUCCCAUGUGGGAACCCACUCUCAUCAAGAUAAUUAGAUUUAUCAAAUGAUCUCUGCAUAUUGCAAGCUUUGAGAGUUGAGAGAGAGAGCUAAUGAAGAUGAGAGAGAAAGGAUCACAACCUCUAAUUACAAACCAAGAAACCAGAAGCCAUGAUGGAGAUGAAGAUAAAUGCAGGUUUGGAAGUAAAGAAUUUAUGGAGGAAGGAAAGCAGCAGCUGGGAUUGGCUAUACCCCUCAUAGCAGUAAACAUGCUUCUCUACUGUUUACAAGUCAUCUCUUUGAUGUUUGUUGGCCACCUUGGUGAGCUGCAGCUCUCCAGCGCUUCCAUGGCCACUUCUUUUGCUGCAGUCACCGGCUUCAGCGUGUUGCUAGGAAUGGGAAGUGCACUAGAAACUCUGUGUGGGCAGGCCUAUGGCGCGAAGCAGUACCAAAUGCUUGGUGUUUAUACUCAACGAGGUGCUGUGGUCGUUCUAGCUUUGAGCAUCGGCCUUGCAGUUGUGUGGUACAACACCUGCUUCAUUCUGGUUGGUCUAGGUCAAGAUCACGAUAUCGCUGCUGGAGCUGGUGAGUUCAACCGUUGGAUGAUACCCGGUCUCUUCGCCUAUGGCAUCCUCCAAUGUCUCAUUAGGUUUCUUCAGGCACAGAACAUAGUACUUCCCAUGAUGAUAACCUCUGGGGUGACUGGUGUGCUCCAUGUGUUUCUGUGUUGGUUGCUCGUGUUCAAACUCGAGUUUGGAAGCCGAGGGGCUGCAAUGGCGAAUGCUGCCUCGUACUGGAUCAAUGUGGUGUUGCUGGCAUUGUAUGUCAGCUGCUUCUCCUCAGCCUGUGCAGAAAGUUUCACUGGUUUCUCAAGAGAAGCUUUUGAUGAUGUAAUUGGGUUUCUGAGGCUUGCAGUUCCUUCAGCUCUGAUGAUAUGCUUGGAAUACUGGUCAUUUGAAAUGGUCGUUAUUCUAUCCGGUCUUCUCCCAAACCCAAAGCUAGAGACAUCAGUACUGUCAAUAAGCCUUAACACUUGCUGGAUGGUGUAUAUGAUUUCUGUUGGUCUUGGUGGUGCAGUAAGCACAAGAGUGUCGAACGAACUGGGAGCUGGCAAUGCAGCACGCGCUCGUCUUGCUGUAAUUGUAGCAGCAGCAAUUGCAGCCUCGGAAGGAGUGAUCAUCGGAGCAAUCACAGUUUUGGCCCGGAAUGUCUGGGGAAAGCUGUACAGCAACGAAGGGGAAGUGAUCGUAUACGUAGCUAGAAUCCUGCCCCUGCUGGCGCUGUCAGACUUCUUGGAUGGUUUCCAGUGUGUGCUAUCAGGAGCUGCUAGAGGGUGUGGAUGGCAAACUCUGUGUGCAGCCAUCAAUCUUGGGGCUUACUAUGUGGUAGCCAUUCCUUCUGCUGUGCUCCUCGCCUUCGUCUUUCGCGUUGGGGGCAUGGGGCUUUGGAUGGGGAUCAUAUGUGGCCUUUCUGUUCAAGCUGUGGUGUUGAUCAUCAUAAAUCUGCGCACUAAUUGGAAUGAUGAGGUGACGAGGGCUGUAAAUCGAGUUCGAGCAACUCGGGAAAUGGGUUCGGAUUGAAACUUUAAUUUCCCAAGUCAAACACUAUAUUCAUUGCAACACAUGUAGAACUUGCGGGAAUAACAAAGUAGAGGCAUGUAAAACAGGCGCUCCUAUGGCAGAAACUUCGAUUUCUGAAUGCUCAUACGACACAGUUUCAUUGCAAGCAUUCAAGAGAUGAGAACUGUGACCUUGAUGUGUCUGACUGGCUUCAGGAACACUCAAUUGAAGACUGGUUGGAUAGCGGCUCGUCUCCCUGCUUGCUGGCCUCUGGUGAAGCACAAGGCUGCUGUUCUUCAUUUUCGUUCUUCUCUGGACAGAAAUUAAUUGGGAACUUUGUAACUCGAGGUUUAUCAGCCAAGAUGUUUCUUUGGACCUUAUCGAUAAGAACCUUCUGAGGAGGCUCUGCUUUUAGCUGCUCAUCCUCGUAGUCAUUGUUGACAUAAUAUCCUACUCGAACAAAUUCUUGGCCCUGAUACGAGCAAGUCAGGAGUAGCACGGUGACUCCAAUAAUAUCUUCCUCUUGAAUUUUUGAUGGGUCUGGUGGAUCAGCCUGGAA